RNAcentral lists this ribosomal RNA (301 nucleotides) under uncultured bacterium. RNAcentral's name for it is "partial 16S ribosomal RNA". It matches the Rfam family "Bacterial small subunit ribosomal RNA", at positions 509 to 807 of the family's 1533-position model. The record is from RNAcentral.
CAGUCGCCGCGGGAAUACGUAGGGUGCAAGCGUUAAUCGGAAUUACUGGGCGUAAAGAGUGCGUAGGCGGUUUAGUAAGUUGGAAGUGAAAGCCCGGGGCUUAACCUCGGAAUUGCUUUCAAAACUACUAAUCUAGAGUGUAGUAGGGGAUGAUGGAAUUCCUAGUGUAGAGGUGAAAUUCUUAGAUAUUAGGAGGAACACCGGUGGCGAAGGCGGUCAUCUGGGCUACAACUGACGCUGAUGCACGAAAGCGUGGGGAGCAAACAGGAUUAGAGACCCCCGUAGUCCCUGUCUCUUAUAC